UACGUAGGGGGCAAGCGUUGUCCGGAUUUACUGGGCGUAAAGGGCGCGUAGGCGGCCAGCACAAGUCAGUUGUGAAAUCUCCGAGCUUAACUCGGAAAGGUCAACUGAUACUGUGCGGCUAGAGUGCAGAAGGGGCAACUGGAAUUCUUGGUGUAGCGGUGAAAUGCGUAGAUAUCAAGAGGAACACCUGCGGCGAAGGCGGGUUGCUGGGCUGACACUGACGCUGAGGCGCGAAAGCUAGGGGAGCGAACGGG
This 254-nucleotide ribosomal RNA is filed under the name uncultured bacterium. RNAcentral's name for it is "partial 16S ribosomal RNA". It matches the Rfam family "Bacterial small subunit ribosomal RNA", at positions 524 to 776 of the family's 1533-position model. The record is from RNAcentral.